Molecule: ribosomal RNA, 475 nt
Filed under: uncultured bacterium
Lineage: Bacteria
Description: bacterial SSU rRNA
Rfam family: Bacterial small subunit ribosomal RNA
Source: RNAcentral
UCGAACGAAUCCCAGCCGGGCAACCGGCUGGGGGAAGUGGCGAAAGGGGCAGUAAGGCGUGGGUAACCUACCCCGGGGUCCGGCAUAGCCGUCCUAACGGACGGGUAAUUCCGGGCGACGUGACCGAGGGGCCUCUCUUGGUCACCAAAGGUUUACCGCCCCGGGAGGGGCCCACGUGGUAUUAGCUAGUUGGUGGGGUAACGGCCCACCAAGGCCGAGAUGCCUAGCGGGUGUGAGAGCACGACCCGCGCCACUGGCACUGAGACACUGGCCAGACUCCUACGGGAGGCUGCAGUCGAGGAUCUUCGGCAAUGGGCGCAAGCCUGACCGAGCGACGCCGCGUGCGCGAUGAAGGCCUUCGGGUUGUAAAGCGCUGUCGAGGGGGAGGAAAGCCGCAAGGCCUGACCGACCCCUGGAGGAAGCACGGGCUAAGUUCGUGCCAGCAGCCGCGGUAAGACGAACCGUGCGAACGUUG